This 253-nucleotide ribosomal RNA is filed under the name uncultured bacterium. RNAcentral describes it as "partial 16S ribosomal RNA". It matches the Rfam family "Bacterial small subunit ribosomal RNA", at positions 524 to 776 of the family's 1533-position model. The record is from RNAcentral. RNAcentral also lists the same sequence under 1 other name.
UACGGAGGGUGCAAGCGUUGUCCGGAUUUAUUGGGUUUAAAGGGUGCGUAGGCGGCGUAGUAAGUCCGUGGUGAAAGCCAACAGCUCAACUGUUGAACUGCCAUGGAUACUGCUAGGCUUGAGUACAGACGAGGUAGGCGGAAUGGAUAGUGUAGCGGUGAAAUGCAUAGAUACUAUCCAGAACACCGAUUGCGAAGGCAGCUUACUAGACUGUAACUGACGCUGAGGCACGAAAGCGUGGGGAGCGAACAGG